UGGGGAAUUUUGGACAAUGGGGGCAACCCUGACCCAGCAACGCCGCGUGAAGGACGAAGUCUUUCGGGAUGUAAACUUCGUAAGAAUAGGAAGAAUAAAUGACGGUACUAUUUGUAAGGUCCGGCUAACUACGUGCCAGCAGCCGCGGUAAUACGUAGGGACCAAGCGUUGUUCGGAUUUACUGGGCGUAAAGGGCGCGUAGGCGGCGUGGUAAGUCACUUGUGAAAUCUCCGAGCUUAACUCGGAACGGUCAAGUGAUACUGCUGUGCUAGAGUGCAGAAGGGGCAAUCGGAAUUCUUGGUGUAGCGGUGAAAUGCGUAGAUAUCAAGAGGAACACCUGAGGUGAAGACGGGUUGCUGGGCUGACACUGACGCUGAGGCGCGAAAGCUAGGGUAGCAAAC
This 401-nucleotide ribosomal RNA is filed under the name uncultured bacterium. Its description in RNAcentral is "bacterial SSU rRNA". It matches the Rfam family "Bacterial small subunit ribosomal RNA", at positions 355 to 773 of the family's 1533-position model. The record is from RNAcentral.